This 889-nucleotide ribosomal RNA is filed under the name uncultured bacterium. RNAcentral's name for it is "bacterial SSU rRNA". It matches the Rfam family "Bacterial small subunit ribosomal RNA", at positions 505 to 1397 of the family's 1533-position model. The record is from RNAcentral.
GUGCCAGCCGCCGCGGUAAUACGGAAGGUCCGGGCGUUAUCCGGAUUUAUUGGGUUUAAAGGGAGCGUAGGCGGACUUUUAAGUCAGCUGUGAAAUCCUGCGGCUCAACCGUGGAAUUGCAGUUGAAACUGGGAGUCUUGAGUGCACGCAGGGAUGCCGGAAUUCGUUGUGUAGCGGUGAAAUGCUUAGAUAUGACGAAGAACUCCGAUCGCGAAGGCAAGUGUCCGGAGUGCAACUGACGCUGAGGCUCGAAAGUGUGGGUAUCAAACAGGAUUAGAUACCCUGGUAGUCCACACGGUAAACGAUGAAUGCUCGCGGUCUGCGAUACACAGUAGGUCGCCAAGCGAAAGCAUUAAGCAUUCCACCUGGGGAGUACGCCGGCAACGGUGAAACUCAAAGGAAUUGACGGGGGCCCGCACAAGCGGAGGAACAUGUGGUUUAAUUCGAUGAUACGCGAGGAACCUUACCCGGGCUUGAACUGCAGGGGAAUCGGGGCAGAGACGCCCCGAGUCUUCGGACUCCUGUAGAGGUGCUGCAUGGUUGUCGUCAGCUCGUGCCGUGAGGUGUCGGCUUAAGUGCCAUAACGAGCGCAACCCUUUUCCCUGUUUGCCAUCAGGUAAUGCUGGGCACUCCAGGGACACUGCCAUCGUAAGAUGUGAGGAAGGUGGGGAUGACGUCAAAUCAGCACGGCCCUUACGUCCGGGGCUACACAUGUGUUACAAUGGGCGGUACAGAGGGCAGCCACCAUGUGAGUGGGAGCUAAUCCUAAAAACCGUUCUCAGUUCGGAUCGGAGUCUGCAACCCGACUCCGUGAAGCUGGAUUCGCUAGUAAUCGCGCAUCAGCCAUGGCGCGGUGAAUACGUUCCCGGGCCUUGUACACACCGCCCGU